AGUUAAUGAACUUGAAUAAGUAUAUAUUUUGAAAAUAUAAGAUAAGGUAUAAUCCUUAUUAACUU
RNAcentral lists this transfer RNA (65 nucleotides) under Himaloaesalus gaoligongshanus. RNAcentral describes it as "tRNA-Ser". Lineage: Eukaryota; Metazoa; Arthropoda; Insecta; Coleoptera; Lucanidae. The record is from RNAcentral.